This 781-nucleotide ribosomal RNA is filed under the name Apis mellifera (honey bee). RNAcentral's name for it is "SSU rRNA". It matches the Rfam family "Eukaryotic small subunit ribosomal RNA", at positions 471 to 1212 of the family's 1831-position model. Lineage: Eukaryota; Metazoa; Arthropoda; Insecta; Hymenoptera; Apidae. The record is from RNAcentral.
CGAAAAAUAACGAUACGGGACUCAUCCGAGGCCCCGUAAUCGGAAUGAGUACACUUUAAAUCCUUUAACGAGGACCAAUUGGAGGGCAAGUCUGGUGCCAGCAGCCGCGGUAAUUCCAGCUCCAAUAGCGUAUAUUAAAGUUGUUGCGGUUAAAAAGCUCGUAGUUGAAUCUGUGUGUCACAGUGUCGGUUCACCGCUCGCGGUGUUUAACUGGCAUUAUGUGGUACGUCCUAUCGGUGGGCUUAGCUCCUUGCGGGCGGUCCAACUAAUAUCCCAUCGCGGUGCUCUUCACUGAGUGUCGAGGUGGGCCGAUACGUUUACUUUGAAAAAAUUAGAGUGCUUAAAGCAGGCUACCUUUGCCUGAAUACUGUGUGCAUGGAAUAAUGGAAUAGGACCUCGGUUCUAUUUUGUUGGUUUUCGGAACCCCGAGGUAAUGAUUAAUAGGGACAGAUGGGGGCAUUCGUAUUGCGACGUUAGAGGUGAAAUUCUUGGAUCGUCGCAAGACGGACAGAAGCGAAAGCAUUUGCCAAAAAUGUUUUCAUUAAUCAAGAACGAAAGUUAGAGGUUCGAAGGCGAUCAGAUACCGCCCUAGUUCUAACCAUAAACGAUGCCAGCCAGCGAUCCGCCGAAGUUCCUCCGAUGACUCGGCGGGCAGCUUCCGGGAAACCAAAGCUUUUGGGUUCCGGGGGAAGUAUGGUUGCAAAGCUGAAACUUAAAGGAAUUGACGGAAGGGCACCACCAGGAGUGGAGCCUGCGGCUUAAUUUGACUCAACACGGAAAA